CCACCCUUUAAUGUUUGAUGUUCUAACGUGGACCCGUGAUCCGGGUUGCGGACAGUGUCUGGUGGGUAGUUUGACUGGGGCGGUCUCCUCCUAAAGAGUAACGGAGGAGCACGAAGGUUGGCUAAUCCUGGUCGGACAUCAGGAGGUUAGUGCAAUGGCAUAAGCCAGCUUGACUGCGAGCGUGACGGCGCGAGCAGGUGCGAAAGCAGGUCAUAGUGAUCCGGUGGUUCUGAAUGGAAGGGCCAUCGCUCAACGGAUAAAAGGUACUCCGGGGAUAACAGGCUGAUACCGCCCAAGAGUUCAUAUCGACGGCGGUGUUUGGCACCUCGAUGUCGGCUCAUCACAUCCUGGGGCUGAAGUAGGUCCCAAGGGUAUGGCUGUUCGCCAUUUAAAGUGGUACGCGAGCUGGGUUUAGAACGUCGUGAGACAGUUCGGUCCCUAUCUGCCGUGGGCGCUGGAGAACUGAGGGGGGCUGCUCCUAGUACGAGAGGACCGGAGUGGACGCAUCACUGGUGUUCGGGUUGUCAUGCCAAUGGCACUGCCCGGUAGCUAAAUGCGGAAGAGAUAAGUGCUGAAAGCAUCUAAGCACGAAACUUGCCCCGAGAUGAGUUCUCCCUGAGACUUAGAGUCUCCUGAAGGAACGUUGAAGACGACGACGUUGAUAGGCCGGGUGUGUAAGCGCAGCGAUGCGUUGAGCUAACCGGUACUAAUGAACCGUGAGGCUUAACCUUACA
This 734-nucleotide ribosomal RNA is filed under the name Salmonella enterica subsp. enterica serovar Schwarzengrund. RNAcentral's name for it is "partial 23S ribosomal RNA". It matches the Rfam family "Bacterial large subunit ribosomal RNA", at positions 2200 to 2925 of the family's 2925-position model. Lineage: Bacteria; Pseudomonadati; Pseudomonadota; Gammaproteobacteria; Enterobacterales; Enterobacteriaceae. The record is from RNAcentral.